AGAAAGUUAGUCUAGCCAAGACAGUUGAUUUCGACUCAACAAACCAUAGCCUAUCACUAUGACUUUCUC
This 69-nucleotide transfer RNA is filed under the name Sula dactylatra (masked booby). Its description in RNAcentral is "tRNA-Arg". The record is from RNAcentral. Lineage: Eukaryota; Metazoa; Chordata; Aves; Suliformes; Sulidae.